Lactuca sativa (garden lettuce) is the source of this 1122-nucleotide long non-coding RNA. RefSeq lists it as uncharacterized. The record is from RefSeq and is a predicted model, not a curated record. Lineage: Eukaryota; Viridiplantae; Streptophyta; Magnoliopsida; Asterales; Asteraceae.
AUGGUAGAUGUUUUGAAUUAUCAAUAAAAAUACUUAAAAUGUUAACUUUGAAUAUGAAAUAUGGGCUUUCAUGAAAAGGAUUUUCAUGGAGGGGCCAUUUUUGUUUAAUGUCCCUAAUUUAAUGAAAUUAGGGCUUUUUGUAGUUCGUUUGUCAUCGUUUAAACCGAUCGGGUAAAGGGAAAGCAAAUGGAAACGAACGAAACAGCGGGGGGAAGGCGGGACCAAUCUACGACGAUAGCAGACCCAUCUCCUGCGAGGGGGGAGCAUCCUCGGUGGUCAACGAGGUGGAAGAACGAAGGGAGAAGCAGCGACGAUGCACUCUUCUCGGUCGGCUGCUAGGUGCGAAGGAGAAGAAUCGAUCGGCGACGAGGGAGAUCGUCUUCGGAGUUUGACAAGACCGAAGAGGCGAAGGGAAGAGCAACGAAGCAGCGCUCUUGUUGUCCGGCUACGAGGUGUGAUGUCCGGCGUCGAAAGCAAUGGUAGCAGCGAAGACAGGACCUUCGGUGGGGUUUGCUCGACGGAAGAUGAAGAGGAGGGUGUGAGCGGUGGGACGCUGAGUGAUUGCAGCUCCGGGAAGGGGUUCGGAGGCAGUUGCUUUUUUCAUUUUUGAUGCUUGCAGGGGAUAGGCAAGGAUUCAAUGGUUUUUCUGGUGUGAAUUUGAUGGGAAGGAAGAAGAAGAAACAAAUGGUGUUGAUGCCCUUUUGGUUGGCUGAAAAAUUGUAUGAACAACAACUGUUCUUUGGCUGGAAUUGAUGCAGAAUGACAAGAAAUAUUGAGGCGUAUGGGUGAUGAUUUUUUUUAAAUCCUUGUACAUUGUUUGAGUUGAGUGGAGUUUUGGUUGAAGGAGAGAAAGUCUCAAAUUUUUGGCAAUCAAUUAAGUGAUUGGUGAUUGUGUGUACCUUGAAUGAGAUUUAGAAGCUAUAAUUUGAAGAGAUUUUGUUAUUUAGAAGCUAUAAGAAAAUGAUUUUGAUGAGAUUUUGUUGGGUUGGAUUACUCGUGAUACAAAGAGAUUGUAUGUGUACAUAUCAUUCAUACUUUAUGUGUCAUGUAUUAUUUCAUUGGUAUGUAUUUGUGUGUAUUUGUUUGAUUUGGUAUGUAUUAUUGGUGUUUUUUUAUUUGUAA